RNAcentral lists this ribosomal RNA (470 nucleotides) under uncultured bacterium. RNAcentral's name for it is "SSU rRNA". It matches the Rfam family "Bacterial small subunit ribosomal RNA", at positions 26 to 521 of the family's 1533-position model. The record is from RNAcentral.
AGGACGAACGCUGGCGGCGUGCCUAACACAUGCAAGUCGAACGGAGCCCGCAAGGGUUCAGUGGCGAACGGGUGCGUAACACGUGAGGAACUUGUCCAUCGGCGGGGGAUAGCCGGCCCAACGGCCGGGUAAUACCGCGUACGCCGUCCGGAGCGCAUGCUCUGGCCGGGAAAGCAGCAAUGCACCGAUGGAGAGCCUCGCGGCCUAUCAGCUAGUUGGUGGGGUAAUGGCCUACCAAGGCGACGACGGGUAGCUGGUCUGAGAGGAUGACCAGCCACAUUGGGACUGAGACACGGCCCAGACUCCUACGGGAGGCAGCAGUGGGGAAUAUUGCGCAAUGGGCGAAAGCCUGACGCAGCGACGCCGCGUGUGGGAUGACGGCCUUCGGGUUGUAACCACUGUCGCGAGGGACGAAGAUCUGACGGUACCUCGAAGGAAGCACCGGCUAACUCUGCGCCAGCAGCCGCGGU